CUUGAUUACAAGAGUGACGGGCGAUUUGUGCAUGUCUAAUGGCGUUUUCAUUGUAAGUUCUUAUCUUUCUUAUUAAUUAUAGGUCCUCUUUUAAGGUCAUUUCCGUCCCCUCCCAGAUCUAAAUUAAUUUUAAUUUGUAUCCCGCAUCGAAUUUAAUAUUUCCUCUGUCUUGAUUUGUUUUGUUUCUCACAGAAUUAAAAUUAAUAAUAAUUUUUUAAUUUUAAAACAAUGAUAUAGAGGGUUAAAAUAAAAUUAAUUAUAAUCGUGGGUUAUCUAUUACCGUGUAGGAUCCCCUAUUUUGAUAAGACACCGCCAUAUCUCUUAGAUUUUUUUUUAAUAAAUACUUUCUUCUCUAAAUUUAAAG
This 364-nucleotide ribosomal RNA is filed under the name Aculops sp. L11 1. RNAcentral describes it as "partial small subunit ribosomal RNA". The record is from RNAcentral. Lineage: Eukaryota; Metazoa; Arthropoda; Arachnida; Trombidiformes; Eriophyidae.